This 253-nucleotide ribosomal RNA is filed under the name uncultured bacterium. RNAcentral's name for it is "partial 16S ribosomal RNA". It matches the Rfam family "Bacterial small subunit ribosomal RNA", at positions 524 to 776 of the family's 1533-position model. The record is from RNAcentral.
GACAGAGGCCUCGAGCGUUAGGCGGAAUCACUGGGCUUAAAGCGUGUGUAGGCGGAUCGUUAAGUACCUUGUGAAAUCCCACGGCUCAACCGUGGAACGGCUGGGUAUACUGGCGGUCUUGGGCCAUUCAGGGGCGACUGGAACAAGCGGUGGAGCGGUGAAAUGCGUAGAUAUCGCUUGGAGCGCCGAAGGUGAAAACAGGUCGCUGGGGAUGUGCCGACGCUGAGACACGAAAGCCAGGGGAGCAAACGGG